RNAcentral lists this ribosomal RNA (459 nucleotides) under uncultured bacterium. Its description in RNAcentral is "partial 16S ribosomal RNA". It matches the Rfam family "Bacterial small subunit ribosomal RNA", at positions 338 to 795 of the family's 1533-position model. The record is from RNAcentral.
CCUACGGGCGGCAGCAGUGAGGAAUAUUGGUCAAUGGUCGGGAGACUGAACCAGCCAAGCCGCGUGAGGGAUGAAGGUACAGAGUAUCGUAAACCUCUUUUGUCAGGGAACAAAGGCGGGGACGUGUCCCCGGAUGAGUGUACCUGAAGAAAAAGCAUCGGCUAACUCCGUGCCAGCAGCCGCGGUAAUACGGAGGAUGCGAGCGUUAUCCGGAUUUAUUGGGUUUAAGGGGUGCGCAGGCGGUCUGUUAAGUCCGCGGUAAAAGCCCGGGGCUCACCCCCGGCCCGCCGGUGAAACUGGCAGUCUCGAGUUGGAGAGAAGUAUGCGGAAGGCGCGGUGUAGCGGUGAAAUGCAUAGAUAUCGCGCAGAACUCCGAUUGCGAAGGCAGCAUGCCGGCUCCACACUGACGCUGAGGCACGAAAGCGUGGGUAUCGAACAGGAUGAGAUACCCUAGUAGUC